GCAGCAGUGGGGAAUCUUGCACAAUGGGCGAAAGCCUGAUGCAGCGACGCCGCGUGCGGGACGAAGGCCUUCGGGUCGUAAACCGCUUUCAGCAGGGACGAGGCCGCAAGGUGACGGUACCUGCAGAAGAAGCCCCGGCUAACUACGUGCCAGCAGCCGCGGUAAUACGUAGGGGGCGAGCGUUAUCCGGAUUCAUUGGGCGUAAAGCGCGCGUAGGCGGCCUGCUAGGUCGGGAGUCAAAUCCGGGGGCUCAACCCCCGUCCGCUCCCGAUACCGGCUGGCUUGAGUCUGGUAGGGGAAGGUGGAAUUCCCAGUGUAGCGGUGGAAUGCGCAGAUAUUGGGAAGAACACCGGUGGCGAAGGCGGCCUUCUGGGCCACGACUGACGCUGAGGCGCGAAAGCUAGGGGAGCGAACAGGAUUAGAUACCCUGGUAGUCCUAGCCGUAAACGAUGGACACUAGGUGUGGGCGGAUUGUCCGUCCGUGCCGCAGCCAACGCAUUAAGUGUCCCGCCUGGGGAGUACGGCCGCAAGGCUGAAACUCAAAGGAAUUGACGG
This 555-nucleotide ribosomal RNA is filed under the name uncultured bacterium. RNAcentral's name for it is "bacterial SSU rRNA". It matches the Rfam family "Bacterial small subunit ribosomal RNA", at positions 348 to 916 of the family's 1533-position model. The record is from RNAcentral.